Molecule: long non-coding RNA, 4532 nt
Filed under: Triticum aestivum (bread wheat)
Lineage: Eukaryota; Viridiplantae; Streptophyta; Magnoliopsida; Poales; Poaceae
Description: long non-coding RNA (TAES_LNC003013)
Source: RNAcentral
CGCCUCUCCUCUCCAGUCCUCACCUCAGAGCUCAGACCAUGGAUCUCGUGGCGCCGGCGGCCGCACGCCCGCUGCACCGGAUCUGAAGCUUCUCCUCCCCCUCUUCCUCACCCCGGUCAGAUCUUCUUCGUCUCGUGUUCCUCCCCGCGCCGCCGGCCGCUGGUCCCCGACCUCAUCCCACCAUGGAUUUGACACCCCCGUGCUCUUCUUCUCUUCAGGCAGGUGAGCCCCGUCCCUCCCAAAUUGGUCCCUCCUCCUCUGGUCAAGUUCUGCCUCUGCUACUGUGUAGUGUAGUGUUGACUGCUAGUGUUGUUGCUUGCUAGCCUGCUGCUUGAUUUCGUUGCUGGCUUGCUGCUGCUAGAUGAUGUUGUUACGUGCUGCUGUUGGCUUGCUACUGCUGGUGGCUUGGUGCUAUUAGCUGCUGCUUGUUGUUAGCUGCUAGCGUGCUACUACUAGCUAGCUACUACUGCUUGUGUUACUAGUUGUUGCUGCUGCUACUUGCUGAUACUACUAGCUACUGCUGCUGCCUACUGGUGCUACAAAUAUCUUCGUAACUGAACUGACCAUAAUCAUUAGGUGUAUAGAGGAUUUUAUGGUUUCUAUUUUAUAAAUAAUGAAUGUAACAACACUAGCGAUCUUUCAAUUUUGUCGAGUAAAUCACGUAAGAUAGAAGUGUGCCUAUUUGUAUCACAUAUUGGAGUGAAGUGCUGUCACUACCAAGUAUCAAAUGUAGCUUAGGUUCAGAUAAGCUUUUCCCAAAAUUAAAAUACUACCAAGGGAUCACUCCUUGGCAUUUAUUUUGUAUUUUUUAUUUAUAACACAUCUCAUGCCUUGCAGGAUCGACUUCCUUCUCAAUAGUGAAAUUUCUUCUGUUGUUCAAGUGAGAGAAACAUGCAGGUAUCUUAAUGAUCCACUAAAUUAUUUUCGGUAAAAGUUUGCUUCACAUCCAUUGUGUAAUAUGAAGAGAAAUCAUGGUGCUUUUCCUUUCGUCGUGUACAAAAUUGUUUCCUGUCCAUUACUUAAUUUGUAGAUGAAUAAUAGGGUACUUAUUAUUUGCGUGCAUGGAUUUCAUUCAAAUAGAAUUUUCAAAGACAAAUUAAAUGCCAUACCUUACUAAACUCAGAUUAGCGCAUCCAGCAGAGAAAAGUUGUGUACUUAUUCCUAACAGUACCAAAUAAUUUAAAUUCUGAAUGGUUUUCGUCAGCAACUAUUGUGAGUUGUCUUUGCAAUUCCACAUAGUAAUUAGUUAUAAUGUCAUACCUUGCACCAUUUUCAGAAAUCAACAGUUUACCCUUCCUGGUGCUUUAUCCCUUGGAAGAAAUCUUUAUGGUGCUUCCGUGCUCUCCUAAAAGCCAGUUUAAACAGACUUAAAGAGUAGUGUUAUCAACGGAUAGUAAGAGAGCACCCUCAUCUUGCUUUCAACCACUUGCUUCUGGGCUUCACUUAUAUUUUUAUGUACUGAACAAUCUCCGCAAAGUUCGCAUUCUCCUACUGAAUUAAUAGUGCCAAGUCAUAAGUCUGCAGCUAAAUUUCAGGGAGAAGAAAUUAUCAAAAGACAACAUAGGAUAAAUGUUACAUAUUCGUAGAUUAUUAAUAUUAUUAGAAAUGCACUGCCUGCAUACUAUUUGGUGCAUUUUGGUACUCAUGUGUCUAUUUCCUUCACAGCAAAAUAAACAUGACCAAUUUACCGCAUUUUUUUACUGGCCAUGGGUUCUGAAAAUAAAUAUCUGAAAAUUAAGAUAAACAUGACUCUUUAGAAAUAAGGCUAGGAUACCUGAUGUUAAAAUAGAGACCGUGCCAAUGAGUAAUUCAUCAACGUUUUGUAGCUAGCAUUCCUAUUGUUCUAGAGAAGCUGCUUAUGCUUCUUAGAGUAAGGGGCCAUACCAUAAUUAGUACAAUUGCUUCCAAGCUCUUGGUGACAUAUUUUUCCUUCCAUUCCAUUUGCAACAUGUAAGCCAUGAUUUCUUGUUUUUAGAGUCCUUCUCAGGGAGGAGUUCGAGGACAGUCUUGAAAAUCCAGAUCCGGUACCUUUGGCGUUGUUGACGACAGACCAAGCUAACCUUGCGGUUCAGGCGGACUCGAAUGUUGGAUCUGGAUGCGGGUAGCAAAUUGGCGGCGGUGGUACUGAGAGGGCGAACUGCAGCGAGCGGUGUCGUCGAGGGGCUUCGCCGACAGCAUCCGCAGUUAACGUACAGGGUCAACCCUCAUGCCCCUGGUUGGUCUAAGAGGUAUGACAUCUGAAUCUGUUGCGUCAACUAGCUGUACAAUUUUUCAGAAAUGGUUCAUGCUGAUUUGCUAGGCACUCCUUACAAUGUUGUAGUCGUGUAGUGCGCCCAGGAUUUUGCUGUUUGCUAUGCACUAUCUCGCUCUGAACCCGUGUACUGCUCUUCCCCUUCCGCAUUUGACAACCUGUAGUCCUUACUUGCGGUUGGCCAGGUAGUUGUUUGUUGAUUUAGGUUCGCCGCCGCCAUUGAUUCCUGCCACCAUUGAUUCCUGCGUCUUUUCUCAGGUCUCCCCAUCAUCAGGAGUUGAAAAAACAGCCUGGAACAUCCAGAUCCAGUGCCCCUAGUCCUGUUGCCACUGCACAAGGCGAAGCCGACGAGUGCUGGAGGAUUUGAACUGCGUGUCUGGCUAUGUGCAAGAGGUCAGUGGCCGCAGCCAGUGAAGAGCAGGAGGUGAGGUCCGUCGAAGGAAGAAUGCUUCCCCGGCUCAGUCCGCACAAUCCACAUUAAAGGUUAACCCGGAGGCACCAUGAUGGACUAAAAGGUGAUUUUCUCACUUUUUUCGUCUGAACCGCCAUGACGUUAUGAUACAGUAGAUUGCAGCUAAGCAGACAUGGUACUAUUUUACAAAUUGCUUCAGAUAAUGGCAUCCUGUAGGGUGCUAUUUUUGCUUAUAUCCCUGCAGAUCCAGCAGUUGUUGGCAUAGCAAAUGUAUAUGUGUGUGCAUGUGGCAACUGAUUCGAUUCGCAACAGUAAGUCAGGAACCACCUGAGCGGCUUGGUUGGCUUGCUGAACACCGGCUAGCGCCUGUGCCCGGCGGUCUGAACCGAAGUGAGCCUACGAACAUACAAAUCCUGGAACUUGGAGAAAGGGCAUCCACGUGACUGGUGGAACAAGAAAGCCAAAUCAGAAAUCUGUGGGGGAGAUCAACAUGACUUGAAAUAAAUUAGUAGAAAAUGUAUCCAGGCUUCUCCCCGCUUCCGAGCUAUAUUUUUCACCAGCUCAUGGCCACCGAAAAGGCAUGAUGUGAAAGGAAGAAGACCUGAGUAGGGACAUCAGUGGUUGUUUGGAUUAGGAGAAUUUAAGUUGGGUCGUUAGAAAACCAGUUUUAGGAGAAAUUUUAGGAAAACUAGUUUUAGUUGUUUUUUUGUUACGCAAUUCUUUGUUUGGAUCAAGAAACCACUUUGACAAAACUCUGUUUGGGUUAAAUCCUUCGAAGAACCACUUUAUUAGACGCCUGACCCUCGCUCCAUUGUAUGGGCAUCGGCAUGGUUCUGUCUGCCGUGGUCAUGCUCAGUGCCGAGAGCUGUACAUCGCCGCUAGCGGCGCCUCCAUGUCCGUGGAGCAUCGUGUCACUGCUAUUGGUGUUCUAGCUAGUGCCACAAGCUGCGGCGUUGUGCCUCUCGGAAGGCGUUCAAUCAGCUGAGCCAGAUGGCGUUCCGAUACAAAUUGUUCAUGUAGAACAUGCCCAGCAUUGCCAGCUCGCUACUGUUCUGUGGCCAGGCGCUAUCAAAACUACCAAAGCAGGCUCCUGUGCACUUGAGGAGGGUCAGGUGGACCAAACUGGCUUGGUUUACUUGUAUUUUGGUUUCGAACAAAAAAACUCUGAAUAUAUAGCUUCUUUGACACAUAUAUUGACAGUGGUGUCAUGGAGACAUGUUGGAAGAAAUGAUACAUGUCCCUCUGUUAAUGAUAUGGUUGUAAAUUACUGCAUGUGAUUUCUAAUUUUAGAAUGUUGAGUAGACUAUUGUUGUAGAUCAAUAAAUUUUAUGAAACUUACGUUUGGUAGUGUUUUUGAAUCGGCAUGCCUGAUCAGGUUUUCUGAAUUUGGUUAUGUGGUGACAACACGUGUCCCUUUGUUAUGAGUGUACCCGUGGUGUGCAGCUUGUUGGGGUGCGCCAUGUGCUUUCCUUGUGUAAUUUUCUUAAGAUUUUCGCCUUAAGAUAACUUAAUUGCAUUGCUCGUGUCUCAGGUCCAUAAUUUGUAUUUUCUUCCAAUUCUUCUAACUUUCUUCUUUCCCAUUUUACAGAUUUGCUUAAGAUCACGUAAGCUUGGGUUGGUGGAGUGCUUGUAUUUAGUUUUUGUUUUGACCUUGUGAAACUUGCUACCUAUGGAUGAAACUGUGUAAUAUUGAUGAAACUAUGUAUAUGUAUGGAUGAAACUUGCUACUAUUGUUAACAUGUGUUGGAUAUAUAUGUGUCCAUGACUAUUGGUAAUAUGUGUUGAAUACGCUAUAUUGGUCAUAUAAAUAUAUUUGUGUUUGAUUUUCUGUGAAAAUGAAUUGAUAUAAGAAAAAACAAAAUUAAAUGG